RNAcentral lists this ribosomal RNA (465 nucleotides) under uncultured bacterium. RNAcentral's name for it is "partial 16S ribosomal RNA". It matches the Rfam family "Bacterial small subunit ribosomal RNA", at positions 28 to 507 of the family's 1533-position model. The record is from RNAcentral.
GAUGAACGCUGGCGGCGUGCUUAACACAUGCAAGUCGAACGGAAAGGCUCCUGCUUGCAGGGGUACUCGAGUGGCGAACGGGUGAGUAACACGUGGGUGAUCUGCCCUGCACUUCGGGACAAGCCUGGGAAACUGGGUCUAAUACCGGAUAGGACGAUGGUUUGGAUGCCAUUGUGGAAAGUUUUUCGGUGUGGGAUGAGCUCGCGGCCUAUCAGCUUGUUGGUGGGGUAAUGGCCUACCAAGGCGUCGACGGGUAGCCGGCCUGAGAGGGUGUACGGCCACAUUGGGACUGAGAUACGGCCCAGACUCCUACGGGAGGCAGCAGUGGGGAAUAUUGCACAAUGGGCGCAAGCCUGAUGCAGCGACGCCGCGUGGGGGAUGACGGCCUUCGGGUUGUAAACUCCUUUCGCUAGGGACGAAGCGCAAGUGACGGUACCUGGAGAAGAAGCACCGGCUAACUACGUG